This 376-nucleotide ribosomal RNA is filed under the name uncultured bacterium. RNAcentral describes it as "bacterial SSU rRNA". It matches the Rfam family "Bacterial small subunit ribosomal RNA", at positions 524 to 898 of the family's 1533-position model. The record is from RNAcentral.
UACGUAGGGGGCGAGCGUUGUCCGGAAUCAUUGGGCGUAAAGGGCGCGUAGGCGGAUCAUUAAGUCUGGUGUGAAAUAUAGGGGCUCAACCCCUAAACUGCAUCGGAAACUGGUGAUCUUGAGGACAGGAGAGGAAAGUGGAAUUCCACGUGUAGCGGUGAAAUGCGUAGAGAUGUGGAGGAACACCAGUGGCGAAGGCGACUUUCUGGACUGUAACUGACGCUGAGGCGCGAAAGCGUGGGGAGCAAACAGGAUUAGAUACCCUGGUAGUCCACGCCGUAAACGAUGAGUGCUAGGUGUAGAGGGUAUCGACCCCCUCUGUGCCGCAGUUAACACAAUAAGCACUCCGCCUGGGGAGUACGGCCGCAAGGUUGAA